AAGUCGUAACAAGGUUUCCGUAGGUGAACCUGCGGAAGGAUCAUUAUUGAAUUCAUCUACCGGGUUGUUGCUGGUUCCUUUUGGUUCAAGUGCACGCUUGGUUCUUGAUCUCUUUCCACCUGUGCACUUUUGUAGGCUAGUCUACGUCUUGGUUGAUUGUCUGUUGCUCAAUAUCUUGCUUUUGUGAGACGUUGGAUUGGAGGAGUGAGCUUCUUAGUUCUUCCUCUAGGACUUUCAGCUGAGCAUGAUUAGCUCUACGUUUUUUACAAACCCAUUUGUAUGUCUAGAAAGUCCAUUACUGGUCGGAAGACCUUUAAUCUUUACACAACUAUUGACAACGGAUCUCUUGGCUCAC
This 355-nucleotide unclassified non-coding RNA is filed under the name Flagelloscypha minutissima. RNAcentral describes it as "partial internal transcribed spacer region". The stretch from base 1 to 46 matches the Rfam family "Eukaryotic small subunit ribosomal RNA", at positions 1786 to 1831 of the family's 1831-position model. The record is from RNAcentral. Lineage: Eukaryota; Fungi; Basidiomycota; Agaricomycetes; Agaricales; Niaceae.